CAUACCUCGUACCUUUUGCAUCAUGAUUUAGCUAGAAAACCUCAAGCAAAGAGCACUUUAGUUUGAUUCCCCGAAACUAGGUGAGCUACUCCAAGACAGCCUAUCAUUAGGGCCAACCCGUCUCUGUGGCAAAAGAGUGGGAAGAGCUUCGAGUAGAGGUGACAGACCUAUCGAACCUAGUUAUAGCUGGUUACCUGAGAAUUGGAUAGAAGUUCAGCCUCUCGGCUUCUUCAUUCACCGAGAGAGUUAAUCAAAGGGGGUACAGCCCCUUUGAUACAAGAAACAACUUUACCAGGAGGAUUAAGAUCAUAAUUAAACUAAGGCAUAAUGUUCUGGUGGGCCUAAAAGCAGCCACCCCCAAAGAAAGCGUUAAAGCUCAGACAUAAUAUCCCGAUAACUAUUUCUUACUCCCCUAAUUCUAUCAGGCCGCCCCAUGCAACCAUGGGAGCGAUCAUGCUAAAAUGAGUAAUAAGAGGGGCCCCUCUCCUUGCACACGUGUAAAUCGGAACGAACCCCCACCGAACCUUAACGGCCCCAAAACAAAGAGGGUAUUGAACAACAACUAGAAAACUAUUCACCGUUAACCCCACACUGGUGUGCCCCCAAGGAAAGACUAAAAGAAAAGAGAAGGAACUCGGCAAACACGCCUCGCCUGUUUACCAAAAACAUCGCCUCUUGC
RNAcentral lists this ribosomal RNA (679 nucleotides) under Platax teira (Tiera batfish). Its description in RNAcentral is "partial 16S ribosomal RNA". It matches the Rfam family "Bacterial large subunit ribosomal RNA", at positions 593 to 1758 of the family's 2925-position model. The record is from RNAcentral. Lineage: Eukaryota; Metazoa; Chordata; Actinopteri; Ephippiformes; Ephippidae.